RNAcentral lists this small RNA (18 nucleotides) under Arabidopsis thaliana (thale cress). RNAcentral's name for it is "ATSL121130". Lineage: Eukaryota; Viridiplantae; Streptophyta; Magnoliopsida; Brassicales; Brassicaceae. The record is from RNAcentral.
AAAAAAAAGAGAAAACAA